UAAGCCCCGGAAGUCCCAGGCCUGGACCAAGCAUGUCUCCGCUGCCACUUAGCCCCGCAAGUCCCGAGGCUGGCCCAAGUGGAUCUCUGCCCCCAUUAAGCCGAAAACGUCCCACCUCUGGCUCAAGUGUUUCGCUGCCACCAUUGAGCCCAAUGACUUCGUCACCGUCUACACAAAGCCCCAUAAGCCCUGUUGCUGGUUCAAAUAGCUCUCCGUUAUUGCGCACCCGAA
Long non-coding RNA from Rhipicephalus microplus (southern cattle tick), 231 nucleotides. NCBI's taxonomy places the organism in Eukaryota, Metazoa, Arthropoda, Arachnida, Ixodida, Ixodidae. The record is from RefSeq and is a predicted model, not a curated record.